RNAcentral lists this ribosomal RNA (119 nucleotides) under Pteropus alecto (black flying fox). Lineage: Eukaryota; Metazoa; Chordata; Mammalia; Chiroptera; Pteropodidae. The record is from RNAcentral.
GUCUACAGCCAUGCCACUCUUUAUAAGCCUGAUACUGUCUGAUCUCGGAAGCUAAGCAGGGUCGGGCCUGGUUAGUACUUAGAUGGGAGACCACCUAGGAAGACCAGGUGCUAUAGGCG